Molecule: long non-coding RNA, 607 nt
Filed under: Carica papaya (papaya)
Lineage: Eukaryota; Viridiplantae; Streptophyta; Magnoliopsida; Brassicales; Caricaceae
Description: long non-coding RNA (CPAP_LNC012312)
Source: RNAcentral
UCCAGAUGGCAUAGUUAUAGAAAACAGUGAAAAAGAUGGAACAGAUGAUAUUUCCUAUUUUGUCUCUGAUGCAUCUCUUGUGAUGAUGGUUUGUUUAUUUUGACAACUUGAGUCCCUAACAUGAAUCCGUAUAAUUUGAAGGUGUAAACUUCAGAUUAUGUAGAUGAUAAUAAAAAAGAGUGCAGUUCUUUGACCUUGGUGGAUCUUAUCUCUCCCAGUAUACUCACUUGGUUUCUUGUGUAUUUUUUAUUUUGUAAAUGCCUAUUUUGCUUGUAUACGAGAUGUUUAUCUUGAUUUCUAUGCUUUUCCUUUUGUUGUCCCUGUGAUCAUGUUUUAGGUACUUGAUAAUGUAGAUGCUCAAACAGUGGAAAAUGGUGAAGUUGAAGAUGAAGAGCCAGAUACAGUUUCCUCUUCAUUUGUAGAUGAUAGUGAUAAGCCUCUUGUUAAGGAAUCAGUUCCCGUAGGUGGGAGAGUUACUCUUGAAGAAAUGGAAGCUAGACCAAAGAGCAUUCCCUCUUCAUUUGUAGAUGAUAGCGAUAAGCCUCUUGUUAAGGAAUCAGUUCCCGUAGGUGGGAGAGUUACUCUUGAAGAAAUGGAAGCUAGACCA